RNAcentral lists this ribosomal RNA (1525 nucleotides) under uncultured organism. RNAcentral describes it as "bacterial SSU rRNA". It matches the Rfam family "Bacterial small subunit ribosomal RNA". The record is from RNAcentral.
AGGGUUUGAUCAUGGCUCAGAACGAACGCUGGCGGCGUGGAUAAGGCAUGCAAGUCGAACGCCAAAGUUCCCCUUCGGGGGAAUGAGUAGCGUGGCGAACGGGUGAGUAACACGUGAGCAAUCUGCCCUCGAGUGGGGAAUAAGGCCCGAAAAGCCGGUAAUACCGCAUAAUGUCGCGAGAUCGCCUGGUUUUGCGACCAAAGGUGGGGAUCCGAAAGGACCUGCCGCUUGAGGAUGGGCUCGCGGCCCAUUAGGUAGUUGGUGAGGUAACGGCUCACCAAGCCCGCGAUGGGUAGCUGGUCUGAGAGGAUGACCAGCCACACUGGGAUUGAGAUACGGCCCAGACUCCUACGGGAGGCAGCAGUCUAGAAGCUUCGGCAAUGGGCGAAAGCCUGACCGAGCGACGCCGCGUGCAGGAUGAAGGCCUUCGGGUUGUAAACUGCUUUCGCUAGGGAUGAAACGUAUGGGGGUUAAUACCCCCCAUGCCUGACAGUACCUGGAUAAGAAGCCCUGGCUAACUCCGUGCCAGCAGCCGCGGUAAUACGGAGAGGGCAAGCGUUGUUCGGAUUUAUUGGGCGUAAAGCGCGUGUAGGCGGUCUUGUAAGUCGGUCGUGAAAGACCCACGGCUCAACCGGGGAACUGCGUCCGAUACUGCAAGGCUUGAGUGCGGGAGAGGAGAGUGGAAUUCCAGGUGUAGCGGUGAAAUGCGUAGAUGUCUGGAGGAACACCCGUGGCGAANGCGGCUCUCUGGCCCGCAACUGACGNUGAGACGCGAAAGCGUGGGAGCGAACGGGAUUAGAUACCCCGGUAGUCCACGCCGUAAACGUUGGACACUAGGUGUGGGAGGUUUUCUACCCCUUCCGUGCCGCAGCUAACGCAUUAAGUGUCCCGCCUGGGGAGUACGACCGCAAGGUUGAAACUCAAAGGAAUUGACGGGGGCCCGCACAAGCGGUGGAGCAUGUGGUUUAAUUCGACGCAACGCGAAGAACCUUACCAGGGCUUGACAUCACCGCAAGGGACCUGGUCGUCUGGGAAACCAGGCGGCUAUAGGUAGACAGGUGUUGCAUGGCUGUCGUCAGCUCGUGUCGUGAGAUGUUGGGUUAAGUCCCGCAACGAGCGCAACCCCUACUCCUAGUUGCCAGCGGGUAAUGCCGGGGACUCUAGGAGGACUGCCGGUUUCAAGCUGGAGGAAGGUGGGGACGACGUCAAGUCAUCAUGGCCCUUAUGUCCUGGGCUACACACGUGCUACAAUGGCCGGUACAGAGGGUAGCAAGGUCGAAAGGCGGAGCCAAUCCCUUAAAGCCGGUCCCAGUUCGGAUUGGGGGCUGCAACCCGCCCCCAUGAAGCUGGAAUCGCUAGUAAUCGCGCAUCAGCCAUGGCGCGGUGAAUACGUUCCCGGGCCUUGUACACACCGCCCGUCACAUGACCCGAGUUGGCUGCUCCCGAAGUCGCUGAUCCAACCCGUAAGGGAGGAAGGUGCCGAAGGAGUGGCUGGUAAGGGGGAUGAAGUCGUAACAAGGUAACC